This 160-nucleotide ribosomal RNA is filed under the name Escherichia coli. RNAcentral's name for it is "partial 16S ribosomal RNA". It matches the Rfam family "Bacterial small subunit ribosomal RNA", at positions 1386 to 1533 of the family's 1533-position model. The record is from RNAcentral. RNAcentral also lists the same sequence under 3 other names. Lineage: Bacteria; Pseudomonadati; Pseudomonadota; Gammaproteobacteria; Enterobacterales; Enterobacteriaceae.
CACACCGCCCGUCACACCAUGGGAGUGGGUUGCAAAAGAAGUAGGUAGCUUAACCUUCGGGAGGGCGCUUACCACUUUGUGAUUCAUGACUGGGGUGAAGUCGUAACAAGGUAACCGUAGGGGAACCUGCGGUUGGAUCACCUCCUUACCUUAAAGAAGC